Molecule: ribosomal RNA, 477 nt
Filed under: uncultured bacterium
Lineage: Bacteria
Description: partial 16S ribosomal RNA
Rfam family: Bacterial small subunit ribosomal RNA
Source: RNAcentral
AUGAACGCUGGCGGCGUGCUUAACACAUGCAAGUCGCACGAGAAGUGAAGACGGAAACCUUCGGGCGGAAGGCUUUAUUUCGAGUGGCGGACGGGUGAGUAACGCGUGGGUAACCUGCCUCAUACAGGGGGAUAACAGUUGGAAACGACUGUUAAUACCGCAUAAGACCACAGCACCGCAUGGUGCGGGGGUAAAAACUCCGGUGGUAUGAGAUGGACCCGCGUUCGAUUAGCCAGUUGGCGGGGUAACGGCCCACCAAAGCGACGAUCGAUAGCCGAUCUGAGAGGAUGACCGGCCACAUUGGGACUGAGACACGGCCCAAACUCCUACGGGAGGCAGCAGUGGGGAAUAUUGCACAAUGGGGGAAACCCUGAUGCAGCGACGCCGCGUGAGUGAAGAAGUAUUUCGGUAUGUAAAGCUCUGUCAGCAGGGAAGAAAAUGACGGUACCUGAGUAAGAAACCCCGGCUAACUACGUG